GGAACAGAGACCAACUCCGUUUCCCGAUCCCUUUGCAAUCUGCAUUGAACCAUGAGUCAAGUUCUUGAUAAAGGAGUGAAAAUGGUAAGUCUAAAGCAAUGAAAAGCUGCUGUAUUGACUACACAUGCCUUCAUUUCUUCUACCCUGCUUCUUUCAUGCCUGCUUAUCUGAAUGACACCAGGAUGACAUUUAAGGCACAUCUGAAGAUGGGGAAACCACAGCACAGAAUAAGGCUGGGCCCUUGAAUCAAUAAAUGAAGGAGAACUACUCAAGAGAACAAAACCACCAGCAAUAUCCACCUGUAUUUGUCUUUUCAUAAUGUGUGACACAUGUGCUCAUGGAUUAUUGUCCGAAGCAAGACAUGUGACCAAGCCUAACAUCAACUGGGUGAAGAGCUAUAUGUUCCUUUCUCAAGAGG
This 418-nucleotide long non-coding RNA is filed under the name Homo sapiens (human). RNAcentral's name for it is "non-protein coding LINC01515:11". The record is from RNAcentral. Lineage: Eukaryota; Metazoa; Chordata; Mammalia; Primates; Hominidae.